GAUGAACGCUGGCGGCGUGCCUAAUACAUGCAAGUCGAGCGAACAGACGAGGAGCUUGCUCCUCUGACGUUAGCGGCGGACGGGUGAGUAACACGUGGAUAACCUACCUAUAAGACUGGGAUAACUUCGGGAAACCGGAGCUAAUACCGGAUAAUAUAUUGAACCGCAUGGUUCAAUAGAGAAAGACGGUUUUGCUGUCACUUAUAGAUGGAUCCGCGCCGCAUUAGCUAGUUGGUAAGGUAACGGCUUACCAAGGCAACGAUGCGUAGCCGACCUGAGAGGGUGAUCGGCCACACUGGAACUGAGACACGGUCCAGACUCCUACGGGAGGCAGCAGUAGGGAAUCUUCCGCAAAGGGCGAAAGCCUGACGGAGCAACGCCGCGUGAGUGAUGAAGGUCUUCGGAUCGUAAAACUCUGUUAUUAGGGAAGAACAAAUGUGUAAGUAACUAUGCACGUCUUGACGGUACCUAAUCAGAAAGCCACGGCUAACUACGUG
This 497-nucleotide ribosomal RNA is filed under the name uncultured bacterium. Its description in RNAcentral is "partial 16S ribosomal RNA". It matches the Rfam family "Bacterial small subunit ribosomal RNA", at positions 28 to 507 of the family's 1533-position model. The record is from RNAcentral.